GACCCCGUAGCUCAGCUGGACCAGAGCAAGUGCCUUCUAAGCACUAGGUCGCAGGUUCGAAUCCUGCCGGGGUCGCCA
RNAcentral lists this transfer RNA (78 nucleotides) under Alphaproteobacteria bacterium. RNAcentral's name for it is "tRNA-Arg". It matches the Rfam family "tRNA". Rfam says of the family: Transfer RNA (tRNA) molecules are approximately 80 nucleotides in length. The record is from RNAcentral. Lineage: Bacteria; Pseudomonadati; Pseudomonadota; Alphaproteobacteria. RNAcentral also lists the same sequence under 2 other names.